AAAGAUAGAAUCUCAAGUGCUUUUUCCAUCUGCCAAAGAAACAAUCCGGGUGCUGUGGCUGCCUCCGCUUAUCAGGGGCAAUACAGCAGCCUGGGGACACAGCC
Molecule: small nucleolar RNA, 104 nt
Organism: Rattus rattus (black rat)
Lineage: Eukaryota; Metazoa; Chordata; Mammalia; Rodentia; Muridae
Product: small nucleolar RNA SNORA77
Exons: 1
Source: RefSeq, a predicted model, not a curated record